UGGGGAAUAUUGGGCAAUGGGGGAAACCCUGACCCAGCAACGCCGCGUGAAGGAAGAAGGCUUUCGGGUUGUAAACUUCUUUGACGAGGGACGAAAAAAAUGACGGUACCUCGAAAACAAGCCACGGCUAACUACGUGCCAGCAGCCGCGGUAAUACGUAGGUGGCAAGCGUUGUCCGGAUUUACUGGGUGUAAAGGGCGCGUAGGCGGGAUUGCAAGUCAGGUGUGAAAUCUGGGGGCUUAACCCUCAAACUGCAUUUGAAACUGUGAUUCUUGAGUGAUGGAGAGGCAGGCGGAAUUCCUAGUGUAGCGGUGAAAUGCGUAGAUAUUAGGAGGAACACCAGUGGCGAAGGCGGCCUGCUGGACAUUAACUGACGCUGAUGCGCGAAAGCGUGGGGAGCAAACAGG
RNAcentral lists this ribosomal RNA (407 nucleotides) under uncultured prokaryote. Its description in RNAcentral is "bacterial SSU rRNA". It matches the Rfam family "Bacterial small subunit ribosomal RNA", at positions 355 to 776 of the family's 1533-position model. The record is from RNAcentral. RNAcentral also lists the same sequence under 1 other name.